CAGGUGGUGCAUGGUUGUCGUCAGCUCGUGUCGUGAGAUGUUGGGUUAAGUCCCGCAACGAGCGCAACCCUUAAGCUUAGUUGCCAUCAUUAAGUUGGGCACUCUAAGUUGACUGCCGGUGACAAACCGGAGGAAGGUGGGGAUGACGUCAAAUCAUCAUGCCCCUUAUGAUUUGGGCUACACACGUGCUACAAUGGACAAUACAAAGGGCAGCGAAACCGCGAGGUCAAGCAAAUCCCAUAAAGUUGUUCUCAGUUCGGAUUGUAGUCUGCAACUCGACUACAUGAAGCUGGAAUCGCUAGUAAUCGUAGAUCAGCAUGCUACGGUGAAUACGUUCCCGGGUCUUGUACACACCGCCCGUCACACCACGAGAGUUUGUAACACCCGAAGCCGGUGGAGUAACCUUUUAGGAGCUAGCC
This 419-nucleotide ribosomal RNA is filed under the name Staphylococcus aureus. Its description in RNAcentral is "bacterial SSU rRNA". It matches the Rfam family "Bacterial small subunit ribosomal RNA", at positions 1035 to 1454 of the family's 1533-position model. The record is from RNAcentral. Lineage: Bacteria; Bacillati; Bacillota; Bacilli; Caryophanales; Staphylococcaceae.